AACGAAUCUUCCGCAAUGCACGCAAGUGUGACGGAGCGACGCCGCGUGGAGGUUAAGUCCUUCGGGAUGUAAACUCCUGUCAGGGGUUACCAAGUUCUGAGGAGCCCCAGAGGAAGGCACGGCUAACUCUGUGCCAGCAGCCGCGGUAAUACAGAGGUGCCGAGCGUUAGGCGGAAUCACUGGGCUUAAAGCGCGCGUAGGCGGACGUUUAAGUGUCUUGUGAAAUCCCACGGCUCAACCGUGGAACUGCUGGGCAUACUGGACGUCUCGAGGCACUCAGGGGCGAGCGGAACAAGUGGUGGAGCGGUGAAAUGCGUAGAUAUCACUUGGAACGCCAAUGGUGAAGACAGCUCGCUGGGGGUGUCCUGACGCUGAGGCGCGAAAGCCAGGGGAGCGAAC
This 399-nucleotide ribosomal RNA is filed under the name uncultured bacterium. RNAcentral's name for it is "bacterial SSU rRNA". It matches the Rfam family "Bacterial small subunit ribosomal RNA", at positions 356 to 773 of the family's 1533-position model. The record is from RNAcentral.